RNAcentral lists this ribosomal RNA (468 nucleotides) under uncultured bacterium. RNAcentral describes it as "partial 16S ribosomal RNA". It matches the Rfam family "Bacterial small subunit ribosomal RNA", at positions 28 to 507 of the family's 1533-position model. The record is from RNAcentral.
GACGAACGCUGGCGGCGUGCUUAACACAUGCAAGUCGAACGGAAAGGCCCUGCUUUUGUGGGGUGCUCGAGUGGCGAACGGGUGAGUAACACGUGAGUAACCUGCCCUUGACUUUGGGAUAACUUCAGGAAACUGGGGCUAAUACCGGAUAGGAGCUCCUGCUGCAUGGUGGGGGUUGGAAAGUUUCGGCGGUUGGGGAUGGACUCGCGGCUUAUCAGCUUGUUGGUGGGGUAGUGGCUUACCAAGGCUUUGACGGGUAGCCGGCCUGAGAGGGUGACCGGCCACAUUGGGACUGAGAUACGGACCAGACUCCUACGGGAGGCAGCAGUGGGGAAUAUUGCACAAUGGGAGGAAGCCUGAUGCAGCAACGCCGCGUGCGGGAUGAUGGCCUUCGGGUUGUAAACCGCUUUCGCCUGUGACGAAGCGUGAGUGACGGUAAUGGGUAAAGAAGCACCGGCUAACUACGUG